UGGGGAAUAUUGCACAAUGGGCGCAAGCCUGAUGCAGCCAUGCCGCGUGUAUGAAGAAGGCCUUCGGGUUGUAAAGUACUUUCAGUCGGGAGGAAGGUGGUAAGGUUAAUAACCUUAUCAAUUGACGUUACCGACAGAAGAAGCACCGGCUAACUCCGUGCCAGCAGCCGCGGUAAUACGGAGGGUGCAAGCGUUAAUCGGAAUUACUGGGCGUAAAGUGCACGCAGGCGGUUGAUUGAGUCAGAUGUGAAAUCCCCGGGCUUAACCCGGGAAUUGCAUCUGAUACUGGUCAGCUAGAGUCUUGUAGAGGGGGGUAGAAUUCAAUGUGUAGCGGUGAAAUGCGUAGAGAUGUGGAGGAAUACCGGUGGCGAAGGCGGCCCCCUGGACAAAGACUGACGCUCAGGUGCGAAAGCGUGGGGAGCAAACAGG
This 429-nucleotide ribosomal RNA is filed under the name Chloroflexota bacterium. RNAcentral's name for it is "Chloroflexi bacterium partial 16S ribosomal RNA". It matches the Rfam family "Bacterial small subunit ribosomal RNA", at positions 355 to 776 of the family's 1533-position model. The record is from RNAcentral. Lineage: Bacteria; Bacillati; Chloroflexota.